Molecule: ribosomal RNA, 253 nt
Filed under: uncultured bacterium
Lineage: Bacteria
Description: partial 16S ribosomal RNA
Rfam family: Bacterial small subunit ribosomal RNA
Source: RNAcentral
UACGGAGGGUGCAAGCGUUAUCCGGAUUUACUGGGUUUAAAGGGUGUGUAGGCGGACUAUUAAGUCAGUGGUGAAAUCCCGGGGCUCAACCUCGGAACUGCCUUUGAUACUAUUAGUCUUGAAUGUUGUUGAGGUGGGCGGAACGGGUCAUGUAGCGGUGAAAUGCAUAGAUAUGACCCGGAACACCGAUUGCGAAGGCAGCCCGCUAAGCAACUAUUGACGCUGAGGCACGAAAGCGUGGGGAUCAAACAGG